This 253-nucleotide ribosomal RNA is filed under the name uncultured bacterium. RNAcentral's name for it is "partial 16S ribosomal RNA". It matches the Rfam family "Bacterial small subunit ribosomal RNA", at positions 524 to 776 of the family's 1533-position model. The record is from RNAcentral.
UACGAAGGGGGCUAGCGUUGUUCGGAUUUACUGGGCGUAAAGCGCACGUAGGCGGAUUGUUAAGUCAGGGGUGAAAUCCCGCAGCUCAACUGCGGAACUGCCUUUGAUACUGGCAAUCUCGAGUCCGGAAGAGGUGAGUGGAACUCCUAGUGUAGAGGUGGAAUUCGUAGAUAUUAGGAAGAACACCAGUGGCGAAGGCGGCUCACUGGUCCGGUACUGACGCUGAGGUGCGAAAGCGUGGGGAGCAAACAGG